RNAcentral lists this small nuclear RNA (86 nucleotides) under Loxodonta africana (African savanna elephant). Lineage: Eukaryota; Metazoa; Chordata; Mammalia; Proboscidea; Elephantidae. The record is from RNAcentral.
GUGCUCACUUCGGCAGCACAUAUACUAAAUUAGCAUGGCCCCUGUGCAAGGAUGACACUCUAAUUUGUGAAGCAUUCCAUAUUUUU